This 253-nucleotide ribosomal RNA is filed under the name uncultured bacterium. RNAcentral describes it as "partial 16S ribosomal RNA". It matches the Rfam family "Bacterial small subunit ribosomal RNA", at positions 524 to 776 of the family's 1533-position model. The record is from RNAcentral.
UAUGGAGGGGGCUAGCGUUGUUCGGAAUUGCUGGGCGUAAAGCGUGCGUAGGCGGACCUGCAAGUCGGGGGUGAAAGCCCGAGGCUCAACCUCGGAACUGCCUUCGAUACUGCGGGUCUCGAGUCCGGGAGAGGUGAGUGGAAUUCCUAGUGUAGAGGUGAAAUUCGUAGAUAUUAGGAAGAACACCAGUGGCGAAGGCGGCUCACUGGCCCGGUACUGACGCUGAGGCGCGAAAGCGUGGGGAGCAAACAGG